Molecule: ribosomal RNA, 468 nt
Filed under: uncultured bacterium
Lineage: Bacteria
Description: partial 16S ribosomal RNA
Rfam family: Bacterial small subunit ribosomal RNA
Source: RNAcentral
GACGAACGCUGGCGGCGUGCUUAACACAUGCAAGUCGAACGGAACGGCCCUGCUUUUGUGGGGUGCUCGAGUGGCGAACGGGUGAGUAACCCGUGAGUAACCUGCCCUUGCACUUCGGAUAAAUUCAGGAAAAUGGGGCUUAUACCGGAUAGGACUUCCUGCUGCAUGGUGGGGGUUGGAGAGUUACGGCGGUUGGGGAUGGACUCGCGGCUUAUCAGCUUGUUGGUGGGGUGGUGGCUUAACAAGGCUUUGCCGGGUAGGCGGCCUGAGUGGGUGAGCGGCCAGAUUGGGACUGAGACACGGCCCAGACUCCGGCGGGAGUCAGCAGUGGGGAAAAUUGCAAUAUGGGCGGAAGGCGGAAGCAGUGACGCCGCGUGCGGGAUGACGGCCUUCGGGUGGUAAACCGCGUCCGGCUGUGAGGAAGCGGGAGUGACGGAAAUGGGUAAAGAAGCACCGGCUAACUACGUG